This 472-nucleotide ribosomal RNA is filed under the name uncultured bacterium. Its description in RNAcentral is "bacterial SSU rRNA". It matches the Rfam family "Bacterial small subunit ribosomal RNA", at positions 328 to 793 of the family's 1533-position model. The record is from RNAcentral.
CGCUAUCACUCCUACGGGGGCAGCAGUGGGGAAUAUUGCACAAUGGGGGAAACCCUGAUGCAGCCAUGCCGCGUGUGUGAAGAAGGCCUUCGGGUUGUAAAGCACUUUCAGUAGGGAGGAAGGUAGUGUAGUUAACACCUGCACUAUUUGACGUUACCUACAGAAGAAGCACCGGCUAACUCCGUGCCAGCAGCCGCGGUAAUACGGAGGGUGCGAGCGUUAAUCGGAAUUACUGGGCGUAAAGCGCAUGCAGGCGGCCUGUUAAGUCAGAUGUGAAAGCCCGGGGCUUAACCUCGGAAUUGCAUUUGAAACUGGCAGGCUAGAGUCUUGUAGAGGGGGUAGAAUUUCAGGUGUAGCGGUGAAAAUGCGUAGAGAUCUGAAGGAAUACCAGUGGCGAAGGCGGCCCCCUGGACAAAGACUGACGCUCAGAUGCGAAAGCGUGGGGAGCAAACAGGAUUAGAUACCCUGGUAG